UUUGCACUGUUGACCUCGGGUUUGACAAUUUCAAUGUUCUGGAUCUGGGUUCAAGUUUGAUAGACUAGGACCACAACUGCAUAAACUGUGAAGACUGAGCUUUUGAAAUGCAUUUGGUUUACUCUGGAGGACUGUAAGAUGUUGAACAUCAAAUAUCUAAGUUCCCAGCUGGUGCAGCUCUUCAUUUAUCUUUAUGAGCGGUGCACAGAUAUACCCUGAAGACUUCUGCAUCUUAGAGAUGGUAUUUUCAA
This is a non-coding RNA of Chiloscyllium plagiosum (whitespotted bambooshark), 251 nucleotides long. The record is from RefSeq and is a predicted model, not a curated record. Lineage: Eukaryota; Metazoa; Chordata; Chondrichthyes; Orectolobiformes; Hemiscylliidae.